Molecule: ribosomal RNA, 264 nt
Filed under: uncultured bacterium
Lineage: Bacteria
Description: partial 16S ribosomal RNA
Rfam family: Bacterial small subunit ribosomal RNA
Source: RNAcentral
CGGGCCGUGGGGGUAUCUCACGGUCAGCGGCGGACGGGUGAGUAACGCGUGGGUGACCUACCCGGAAGAGGGGGACAACAUGGGGAAACCCAGGCUAAUCCCCCAUGUGGACACAUCCUGUGGGGUGUGUUUAAAGGGUUUUGCCCGCUUCCGGAUGGGCCCGCGUCCCAUCAGCUAGUUGGUGGGGUAAGAGCCCACCAAGGCGACGACGGGUAGCCGGUCUGAGAGGACGGCCGGCCACAGGGGCACUGAGACACGGGCCCC